This 1466-nucleotide ribosomal RNA is filed under the name Klebsiella sp. RNAcentral's name for it is "bacterial SSU rRNA". It matches the Rfam family "Bacterial small subunit ribosomal RNA". Lineage: Bacteria; Pseudomonadati; Pseudomonadota; Gammaproteobacteria; Enterobacterales; Enterobacteriaceae. The record is from RNAcentral.
CUCAGAUUGAACGCUGGCGGCAGGCCUAACACAUGCAAGUCGAGCGGUAGCACAGAGAGCUUGCUCUCGGGUGACGAGCGGCGGACGGGUGAGUAAUGUCUGGGAAACUGCCUGAUGGAGGGGGAUAACUACUGGAAACGGUAGCUAAUACCGCAUAAUGUCGCAAGACCAAAGUGGGGGACCUUCGGGCCUCAUGCCAUCAGAUGUGCCCAGAUGGGAUUAGCUAGUAGGUGGGGUAACGGCUCACCUAGGCGACGAUCCCUAGCUGGUCUGAGAGGAUGACCAGCCACACUGGAACUGAGACACGGUCCAGACUCCUACGGGAGGCAGCAGUGGGGAAUAUUGCACAAUGGGCGCAAGCCUGAUGCAGCCAUGCCGCGUGUGUGAAGAAGGCCUUCGGGUUGUAAAGCACUUUCAGCGGGGAGGAAGGCGAUAAGGUUAAUAACCUUGUCGAUUGACGUUACCCGCAGAAGAAGCACCGGCUAACUCCGUGCCAGCAGCCGCGGUAAUACGGAGGGUGCAAGCGUUAAUCGGAAUUACUGGGCGUAAAGCGCACGCAGGCGGUCUGUCAAGUCGGAUGUGAAAUCCCCGGGCUCAACCUGGGAACUGCAUUCGAAACUGGCAGGCUAGAGUCUUGUAGAGGGGGGUAGAAUUCCAGGUGUAGCGGUGAAAUGCGUAGAGAUCUGGAGGAAUACCGGUGGCGAAGGCGGCCCCCUGGACAAAGACUGACGCUCAGGUGCGAAAGCGUGGGGAGCAAACAGGAUUAGAUACCCUGGUAGUCCACGCCGUAAACGAUGUCGAUUUGGAGGUUGUGCCCUUGAGGCGUGGCUUCCGGAGCUAACGCGUUAAAUCGACCGCCUGGGGAGUACGGCCGCAAGGUUAAAACUCAAAUGAAUUGACGGGGGCCCGCACAAGCGGUGGAGCAUGUGGUUUAAUUCGAUGCAACGCGAAGAACCUUACCUGGUCUUGACAUCCACAGAACUUAGCAGAGAUGCUUUGGUGCCUUCGGGAACUGUGAGACAGGUGCUGCAUGGCUGUCGUCAGCUCGUGUUGUGAAAUGUUGGGUUAAGUCCCGCAACGAGCGCAACCCUUAUCCUUUGUUGCCAGCGGUCCGGCCGGGAACUCAAAGGAGACUGCCAGUGAUAAACUGGAGGAAGGUGGGGAUGACGUCAAGUCAUCAUGGCCCUUACGACCAGGGCUACACACGUGCUACAAUGGCAUAUACAAAGAGAAGCGACCUCGCGAGAGCAAGCGGACCUCAUAAAGUAUGUCGUAGUCCGGAUUGGAGUCUGCAACUCGACUCCAUGAAGUCGGAAUCGCUAGUAAUCGUAGAUCAGAAUGCUACGGUGAAUACGUUCCCGGGCCUUGUACACACCGCCCGUCACACCAUGGGAGUGGGUUGCAAAAGAAGUAGGUAGCUUAACCUUCGGGAGGGCGCUUACCACUUUGUGAUUCAUGACUGGGGU